ACUGAGAGCCUACCCCUCCGGGACCCCCUCGCUACCCUGCAGCCAUCAUCUUUAAGGCGUCGCCCUUUCCAGUAGCGCCCACCCAGCCCGCGUUAACUCCCCGCUCCGCCGGACCCUGAACCUCCAACGCCGAAUAACUCACAGCCCGCCUCUGGCCCCCGGAGCUACCUACUGCAGGCCUGGGUCCCCCUGGGUCCCUGAGUGGGACACGAACCAACCCAGGGUCCUGCAGUGAACCGAGAUGCUCAGGUCUUGGGGUUUCUGGGCCUGGUCGCCAGCACCCUUGCUCUGGGCACCUCCUGGGGGCGCAUCCUGGCGGGAGUGCGUGGAAGGCCGUGUGCCUCCCCUUAGGGCUCCCCACGGGAGCGACAAGAAGGGUCUGGGGCCCUUAAUGUCCCCCAGGUUACCCCCAGACCCGAAGACCUCCCACGGGCGUCCCUUAAGAGCUCCACACACUGACUCUCAGGAGUCUCCAGCUGGGGACCAAGUCUAGGAUCCAGGGGACACUGUGGGGGACAUGUCACCGUGACAGUAUAGAGGCCUGACCUUGUGGACAGCAUCAUCUCGCUGGGGGGUCCCCGAGACUUUGAAAAAGAGCCUGAAAAAGAGGUCACCAGGGCACAAGACAUCUGCAUUCAAUUGUCCAGUGAGAACCAGCACAAGUCCUUCUCUUCAGUGACCUUGGAGAAAUCAGCAGUGUAAUGAUCUUACCUAGUUUUUAUAUACACAUACACACGUUGUUUCAUUCAGCUUCUCA
This is a long non-coding RNA of Cavia porcellus (domestic guinea pig), 757 nucleotides long. RefSeq lists it as uncharacterized. Lineage: Eukaryota; Metazoa; Chordata; Mammalia; Rodentia; Caviidae. The record is from RefSeq and is a predicted model, not a curated record. The transcript is spliced from 2 exons.